AUUUUCGUAGUUCGAUGUGUAUUCUUGUCCCAGACAGUCCAUAAUUUGCCUCCAUAUUUUGGCGAUCAAAUGAGCUGAAGUUCGGCUUCAUCACUAACUUGCUCCGUUAGCCUGCCUGCUAUUCUGCUUCUUGUGACAGCUUACCUUUCUCAUGCCUACCUCGUGUAGAUGAACUUGGCCUUGGCACUUGUGCACUGGUUAUAGGCUUCUGUAAUGGCUUCCAAACAGCCAUGAUCUCUGCCAAUGUUGGCCUUUUCGGAUCCGUCUGCCAGCACUUCCGAAUAAUAUCCGCAAUGACUGGAUCCAUAUCAUUUGGAAUGUCAAGACGUCGUUGUUGAAAUCCAACAGCACCAACAACUUGCAUUGGGUUCAUUCCACCCCACGGUUGCUGCAUUGUACAGAGCUCCCAUAGUAUAACCCCAAAACUAUAAACGUCACACUUUUCAUCUGAAGGUUCAUUUCUAAGCACUUCUGGGGCCAUCCACNNNNNNNNCACUCAGCCGUCCCUGCAGUUGACCUUGAAGAGAGAAACGUGCUGUGCUUUAUUCGUGAUAGCCCAAAAUCACAUACCUUCACUACCCAGUUUUUAUCAACCAGAAGAUUUGGGGACUUUAAAUCACGGUGUACUAUCAUUGGAGUGCAGUUGUGCAAAUAAUUCAUUCCUCGAGCAGCAUCAAGGGCCAUCCUCAAACGUCUCCGCUCAUCUAAUUGAUUGUUAAGCCUGUGAAUUAGUCUAUACAAACUACCCCUAGGAAGAAAUUCUGUAACAAUGGAAAGAUUUGGGGCACGAGUUACUGCUCCCAUGAAGAGAACCACAUUGGGAUGUCUGAGUCUUUUCAUGAUUCGAACCUCAGUUCUGAAUUCUUCAAGUGAUUCAACAGAAAUUCCUUGGUCUAGGAACCUCUUCACAGCCACUUCAGUUCCAUGCCAGUCUCCACGGUAUACCUCUCCAUAUGAUCCAAGUCCAAUGCGUU
This 974-nucleotide unclassified non-coding RNA is filed under the name Hevea brasiliensis (rubber tree). Lineage: Eukaryota; Viridiplantae; Streptophyta; Magnoliopsida; Malpighiales; Euphorbiaceae. The record is from RNAcentral.